RNAcentral lists this ribosomal RNA (258 nucleotides) under uncultured bacterium. RNAcentral describes it as "partial 16S ribosomal RNA". It matches the Rfam family "Bacterial small subunit ribosomal RNA", at positions 96 to 354 of the family's 1533-position model. The record is from RNAcentral.
UGGCGGACGGGUGAGUAACGCGUGGAUAACCUGCCGUAUACCGGGGGAUAACACUUAGAAAUAGGUGCUAAUACCGCAUAAGCGCACGGCUCCGCAUGGGGCAGUGUGAAAAACUCCGGUGGUAUACGAUGAAUCCGCGUCUGAUUAGCUAGUUGGCGGGGUAACGGCCCACCAAGGCAGCGAUCAGUAGCCGGCCUGAGAGGGUGGACGGCCACAUUGGGACUGAGACACGGCCCAAACUCCUACGGGAGGCAGCAG